Molecule: long non-coding RNA, 2867 nt
Organism: Lolium perenne
Lineage: Eukaryota; Viridiplantae; Streptophyta; Magnoliopsida; Poales; Poaceae
Source: RefSeq, a predicted model, not a curated record
GCGGAUUACUCCUAUAAAGGAGCCUGGGCAACUCGGCCAGCCAAGGGGUUUGAAGGGGGGAUUUCAUCUGAUCCGUUCAUUGGUCGUGCCACAGUAAAAAAGCUGCUCCGCUUUUCACUUCAACCGUUGGAUCUGUGAAAAUUUUCCUCACUUCGUAAGCUUCCGAAAGAGUCCAUGACGCGUGGGCUCAGCUACGUGCGGGGGCCAGGGGUGAGAGGCAUCUACUGCUGUUCGGUCGCCUUGCUGGUGAAAACGUAGAUCGCUCUCCCCAAUCCCUGCUCCUCCUCUCAUACCCAAUCCCGUCUCUCCUCCCAGGCUCCCAGGGGCGGCCUCUCUCCCCCAAGCUAGCCCCAUGUGGCCAUGUGAGGCCGGAGAGGGCGGAGGCGAGCGAAUGGAGCCGGAUGGAUGGUCAAGACGGGGACGGCCGCGGUCGAGGAGGAUGGCGGUGCACCUGCUUGAGAAGGUUGUCCACAGCCGGCUGGGGCUCGAGAUCUCCUUCCCUGGCUCGUUUUCUGCUCCUCCCUUAAUAGCUGCUGAAUGAGGCAGAGAAGAGGUGCUCGCAGAUCUCGCCAAAAAAUCUGAUCUGAGAUGAAUUAAGCAUGGAUCGACAGGAGUUGGUGGAUUUGUGCAGGUUUGAUCUGCUCAAAGUAAUUUCUUUUUUGAGAACGAGAUUUUUUUCUUGAUGCUUAUGACAUACCUUCUGUUCCCGGCGGUGUAAAUCUGCAGGGACAAUGAGAUGAGGUUGGUUCUACAAGUAAUCACAUCUGCAGCUUUAGAUUUGGUUUUGCUAUUUGAAAAACCACAGAUCUGAGUCCAUAUUUAUUUAGUAAAUUACAUUGUAUCAGUGAUGUAUAUGAUCUUCGCAGGGAGCAAUAUUGAUGUCUUUCUGCUCUAAAAGAUUUAAAAGUGGCAUUCCCUUUGGCAAUAUUGCUAUUUCCCCUCUUUGUACCUUUAGAAGUGGCAUUCUCUGAGUCUUGCUAUUUGUAUUUGAUCUAUAAGGUUCUAGAGAAUACUUGGUUCAAUACUACAUGCUGGACAAGAUGAUUUCCUUAUAAGCUACAGGAUUGCAUUGCUACUUGGUGGUUGUCAUUCUUUUAACCUUUUCAGAGAUAGAAGAAAGUGUGUUCUACAGUUCUACUUGCCACAAUUAGUUUAUAUAUAUAAUACUGGCCUUUGAAGACAUGGGUUUUGGAAAUAUUUGAAGUGUACUACAUGGUACAGUAGUAAGUAGAAAACAUCUAUAAAUUCAGUAGCAUGCACUCAUGGAAUUACUGGUGGACUUAAUUUGUCUUUUGGCUUAGCCACUGAGGUCUUAUGUCCUAAGUUUUUGUACUACAUAGUAUGGUUGUAAGCUGCAACCAACUAUAAAUUCAGUAAUCAUGCACUCACGGAUUUACCGGUGGAAUUUGCUUAAUCUUAAUGGAAAAAUAGGGAACAUUUGUUUCCGGUUCUUGAAAAAAAAGGCUGUCUUUUUUGACUUAGUCACUCAGGCCUGAUGUCCUAAUUUUUUGUACUACAUGGUACGGUAGUAAUAAGUACCAAACAGUUAUAUAUCCAGUAGUCAUGCAUUCACGGAUUUACUGGUGAGCAUGAUCUGUCAUUUGAAUCGGGUCUGAUGUCCUAAGUUUUGCUGCAGGUGUUGCCUACACUUUGCGACCGUCUAUCAAGGUUCUUAGCAAGCACUUCCUCUCAAAUGCUUCCAAGUUACUGAUUCCUCUUUAUCCAAUGCAUACAAGAUGAAUUCUUUUAGUUUCCACUUGAAUGAUAUGCCUCUUAGCCACCUCAAUGUUCAUUAUUGUUUAACAUAGCGAUAAGGCUAUCCAAACAAGUAAUUCUACAUCCUCUUUCUUAGUUAAAACUGAAUCUUUAUUAAGAAAGGAAAUUAUGUAAUGUCUAGGCAUAAUUUGUACGCAGAUGAAUACUGCACAUUAUUAUUGAGGUCAAUAAGUAUGGGCAUCCCUUGGCUCAUCAUUUCUUAUAUAGUAUGUUUGUAAUUCUUCUCAGCAAGCACUCAUUUGCUUCAUGCAUAUACAGUAUUGAGCAUUGACCUAUAUUCUACUGCCUUAAUUUGAACUUGAUUUUGAGUCAUGUCGGAGGAUUUGACACAGUACUGCCCAUCUUGACAAAUACACAUGCUAAAACAUUGGGUUUUCUUUUGCAUAUAUGCAUCCCUGGAGUAAGCUCGGCAUCAAGUCCUUUAGCUUGCAUGCUCUAUAGUAUUUUAGUUCCAUCGCAAUAGUAUGUGAAUAUUGACUCUGUAUUCUGCUUACUAGGUACAGAUGCACCUAAUUGGUUGAGUCUGAAUUCACUUUGAUUGGAAGAGUUGCCCAGGAUAUCAUUGGCGUGGCCUAUACGGAUAAUUACUGAGACAUGGUUCCAAUUGCUAAUCUAGCUGUUGUAGAUGCUCAAAUUAGGCAUACAUAGCCUGAGCUGGCUGCCGUUUUAUCCUACAAAUAUCAGUUUCUUAUACGUGUGACAACUAACAGCUUAAAAGUGAGAUGGGCAUCAUUCAAUCACACUGUUGAAGCCUGCUAUCCACCUGGAUGAGGGCAAACUCUACCAGAGUUGUCAGUAACCCUAGCACCUUCUAUCGAGAUGUUCUAAUCCUUGGCGGAAAUAGUGUGCCUUCUAAUAUGUAAUUAGCAAUAUUGACCAAGUAACUUAAGUGCUAGGUGUUUGCUUUUGUAUGCUUCUCCUUAGGUUAGUUGGUCUGUCCAAGAACUUCAAAAUGGAAGACUCCAAAUAGUGUGCGUGUAUGUAACACUCCAGAAAGUCAAGUAGUAUCUUCUAUUAUAUGAAGCUGGUAAUAUUAUCUAGGCAUUUAAGAACCAUAUAUUUUCAUAUAUUGCUGGUGUUCUAUUUGUAUA